AAAAAUACGAGCCCCGAACGGAGGUAGGAGCCUGUUUGGUCCAGGGGAGCUUCCCAAAGACGAUCAGCUGGUGUGAGCUGCCCUGCACUGCUCCGAGCCGCGGCAGCAGCGCCCGAGCCGCAGCAUCCCGAGCUGGGCUGGGGAUGAGGCAGCGCAGGUACCUCGGGUACCACCCCGCAAACAUCCCUGCCCUGCCCUCCUCUGUGACAGGAGUGACAGUCUGAGUGAAAGGAAGGCACCUCCGAGGUGAUUACGACAGAGUAAAAACUCCUUCAUCUCUGCUGCUGCAGCGUCACCUCGCUACAAAAAGUCCAGUGCUCUUGAGGAACAAGAAACCACCCAAGCUUAACCCACCAAAAAGAAAGGUUACUGAGUCUCUGCUGAAACCUCAAGGAGGAGAGCCUGUCCCCAGCUGGAGAAGCAGCAGGGAGGAGGAAAUCUGGAAAAUGGCACACUCUGAACCAGGGCAGAGUGUGCAUUUUCCCACUUUGCUGAAUUCCUGCAGGGAGAGAUGCAAAACCCAGCUGGAUGUGAGGGAACCAUCAGCACGAGCUCCUGAGUGUAUGGUGGAAGAUUAAAGCCAUUCUAAAUGAAAGAAGAGUGUGUAACAGGGUACAAGAUUUCUAAAUAGGUGGCACAUGUCAGCAGGCAUUACAAGAGUG
RNAcentral lists this long non-coding RNA (662 nucleotides) under Zonotrichia albicollis (white-throated sparrow). RNAcentral's name for it is "lncRNA (ENSZALG00000010032.1)". The record is from RNAcentral. Lineage: Eukaryota; Metazoa; Chordata; Aves; Passeriformes; Passerellidae.